Molecule: unclassified non-coding RNA, 1474 nt
Filed under: Pomacea canaliculata
Lineage: Eukaryota; Metazoa; Mollusca; Gastropoda; Architaenioglossa; Ampullariidae
Description: flavin reductase (NADPH)-like, transcript variant X1
Source: RNAcentral
UGAGCGAAUUGUUUCCCUUGCCAAUCUACGUCAAGAAACAUAUCUUGUAAAUACUCUGCGUUCUCAAUAAUAAUAUUGGUCGUGCGAAGUUGAUUAAGAACAAAAAGCAUUAAAAGGAGAUUUUAUCGCAGAUUGAAGAGGCAGAGAUAUGAAGAUCGCUAUUCUUGGAGCAACUGGGCGGACCGGGUUGGUCCUGGUCAGACAGGCUCUUGACCAGGGACACGAUGUGCUGGCUCUUGUACGAAACCCACAGGCGAUGACGAAGCAAAUUCAGCACGAACGACUCAAGGCUUACCAGGUAGAUUUGAAUGAUGAGGCUACAAUUGUGAGACCUCUGAAGGAGGCAGAUGCUGUGAUGUCAUGCAUUGGUGCACCCCCAAGCUCGAGUUUCUUCAAAAGCACAACCCUGUACCAGGAUUCUGCAGUUGUUAUUGUCAGUGCCAUGCGACAGACUGGUCUCAAGAAGCUAGUGAUCAUGUCAGGUUCAGGAACAAAAGGGGAGCAAGGAGAAAUGUUCUUGGCGAGAGUCUUAAGACCACUAUUAAAAAACCUUAAAAGUAUGGCUUCUAUGGAAGAUUACCUGGAGCAGCAGUGUGCAGAUAUCAAUUACACUGUGGUUCGCCCACCUGGACUUAAUGAAAAGCCUAGUACAAACAAAGAGAUCAAAAGUCGAGAAGGACAGUAUGUUCCAAAUGCUGCUCUUUACAUGCCACGUGCUGAUGUCGCACGUUUCAUGUUAUCGUGUUUGGAAACAGACAAUUAUGACAGGAAAAUGGUUGCCAUUUCUGUUUGAGUGGAUGUUAUUCAAAUGUACUACAAGCCUGGAUACUGCCUAGGAUUCACAGGUGCAUGAGGGCACAGAGGAAACACCCACAAAUGCAGGCAGCGUUUGGAGAUAUUUGUUUUCACCUUCAGUUUGGUAGGCAACACUUAGGUUGACUAGAUAAUCCAAGGGAGACAAUUUAAUCCACAGCCUGACAACACAUUCUGCUAGGCCAUUAAUUUCUUUUCUUUUUCCCUCUGUUCCAUUCCUGUAAACAAUUUCUGAGAAAUAAUAAACUACACUUUGAUUGAUAUUGACUAAGAACAGUGCUUGUUUAGGAUAUUUGGACAUUUUUGAAUGUGUUUAUGAAAUGUGAUAUAUAUAUUUGUGUAUUAUAAAUUGAAUGAUUAUAUUUUUUUAGUAGUGUUAUUUUUAUGCUAUAGUUGUAAUGUGACAAUCAUGACUAAUAAUUGUCUUUCUACUUUUGACUGUUAGCCUCAAGUAAACUUUUGACUGUUAUCCUCAUGUAAAAACUUCAUAUGUAUGUUUGCUUUUUUCUUGCCAGAGUCUAGAGUCUCAGUAAUUUUAAAAUUGUCAAAUAAUCGUGGACCAGUGUCAGUACCAUUAUUAAACUAUAUAUUUCUUAUGUUCUUUAUAUUGUAUAAAUAAAAAUACCAGUUAUUCAGUAAUAAACUAUUAUGUGGAAAUCAU